UCAGUUCGGAUCGCAGUCUGCAACUCGACUGCGUGAAGGUGGAGUCGCUAGUAAUCGCGGAUCAGCAACGCCGCGGUGAAUGCGUUCCCGGGCCUUGUACACACCGCCCGUCAAGUCAUGAAAGUGGGCAGCACCCGAAGACGGUGGCCUAACCCUUGUGGGGGGAGCCGUCUAAGGUGAGGCUCGUGAUUGGGACUAAGUCGUAACAAGGUACC
RNAcentral lists this ribosomal RNA (215 nucleotides) under uncultured bacterium. RNAcentral describes it as "partial 16S ribosomal RNA". It matches the Rfam family "Bacterial small subunit ribosomal RNA", at positions 1288 to 1500 of the family's 1533-position model. The record is from RNAcentral.